GGGGAUGUAGCUCAACUGGGAGAGCGCGUCAAUCGCACUGACGAGGUUGUGGGUUCGAGUCCCAUCAUUUCCA
This 73-nucleotide transfer RNA is filed under the name Chloroflexota bacterium. Its description in RNAcentral is "Chloroflexi bacterium (groundwater metagenome) tRNA-Ala". It matches the Rfam family "tRNA". Rfam says of the family: Transfer RNA (tRNA) molecules are approximately 80 nucleotides in length. The record is from RNAcentral. Lineage: Bacteria; Bacillati; Chloroflexota.